This 465-nucleotide ribosomal RNA is filed under the name uncultured bacterium. RNAcentral describes it as "partial 16S ribosomal RNA". It matches the Rfam family "Bacterial small subunit ribosomal RNA", at positions 338 to 795 of the family's 1533-position model. The record is from RNAcentral.
CCUACGUGAGGCAGCAGUCGAGAAUCAUUCACAAUGGGCGAAAGCCUGACGCAGCGACGCCGCGUGAGGGAUGAAGGUCUUCGGAUCGUAAACCUCUGUCAGCAGGGAAGAACGGUCACUGUGCUAAUCAGCAGUGAAUUGACGGUACCUGCAAAGGAAGCACCGGCUAACUCCGUGCCAGCAGCCGCGGUAAUACGGAGGGUGCGAGCGUUAAUCGGAAUUACUGGGCGUAAAGCGCUCGUAGGCGGUAUGGCAAGUCAAGGGUGAAAUCCCCGCGCUCAACGUGGGAACUGCCUUUGAAACUGGCAAACUGGAGUGUGUGAGAGGAUAGUGGAAUUCCAGGUGUAGGAGUGAAAUCCGUAGAUAUCUGGAGGAACAUCAGUGGCGAAGGCGACUAUCUGGCACAUAACUGACGCUGAGGAGCGAAAGCGUGGGUAGCAAACAGGAUUAGAUACCCUUGUAGUC